Molecule: long non-coding RNA, 2284 nt
Filed under: Sorghum bicolor (sorghum)
Lineage: Eukaryota; Viridiplantae; Streptophyta; Magnoliopsida; Poales; Poaceae
Description: long non-coding RNA (SBIC_LNC008406)
Source: RNAcentral
AUUCUAGAGUUUUGCAAUAUUUUCAAAUAAAACUUAGAGUUUCCUAACACAUAAACAAUAAAGAUGCAACUACCAAUGCAGUUACGAAAAAUAAAUAUACUUAAAGGAAAAUGCAGAAAAAUACCAAGUUACCUCUUGGCGUGGCGUUCGGUGAUUUUAAGUCCUCCGAACAGGACCUCUUACCAUGUUAAUUCUUAGGUGCUUUUUCUGGUCCCAAAGGUGGAGACCAUGAGAGUUGCACCUCUUGAGAUGGUGUCACCUAUGUUUAUUGCUUCUCCAAUGGGUUGAAGUUAAGCACUAGUUCUAGGAGCUAGCAACAUCUUCGCUCAGUGUGCAUGUUCAUAGGUCUAGUAUCUUCGCUCGGGGUAGAUAUUGAACUAUUCUGACUCACGACUCACCCAUUUUACCUUUCACCAUAGGGCUUAUAGCUAUCACUUUGGUCUUGGGUAGUUGAAAGAUAGAACAGUUUAGUCGAGCACUAUGCUACCCGCUCUUUGAUCAACUAUUAUUCUAGAGUUUUGCAAGAUUUUCAAAUAAAACUUAGAGUUUCCUUGUAUGACACUUUCCAGUCUCUCAUAUGUGGUAUUCUUUUAUCCUCUCCAAGGCAAGUGAGUAUGCCUUCUCUCUGCUCUCAGAAUAUGUGGUAUUUGUAUCACUAAGACAUAGUUGCCUUCUCUCUCUCACCCUGCUUCUAAUUGGCUUAUGUGGAGCUCGUAGGUCGGAAAGACAAUUCAAACCUACUUGCAUGUAUUGCAUAAUUAAACCAUGGAUCUAGAGAAACUAAUUAUACAAUCAAGUCACAUGUGCAUGUGAGUGUAGUGAAUGAUAAGAAUGAAAGUAGUAAUGAGGGGUGAUAACUGAUGGCGAAUAUCUUAUUCUACAAUUGCACCUUGGGGAUAACAUACUUCCUUAAUCUGAGAACAAGGAUUUGGUUCUCUUUCUUUUCUUUUGCAUUGGGACUUUUGUCCUCUUUCUUUCUUUUUCUUUUUUUCUCUUUUUUCCUCUUUUUUGAAAGAUCAGCCAUCCCUUUUAAUUCAAUGAUAAUAGUAGGGAGUAUCAAAUGGGAUAACUAGGGCUUUAUUGGAUAAGUAGAAUAAGACAUUGAAUAUUUUUGGGUGUCUUCUCCCAGUGUAGGAGUAGAACAUUUUCUAUGUGAAUGUGGAUUGUGUGUGGGUGAAUGAAGGAAUGCGUACUCCUAGGGUAGGAGCAGCGUAGGUGUGUCUCCAAGAUAGAAACAACAUAGAGUGUAGUGCGUAUAUGUGGGUGGUACUUCUAGGAACAGAAGUAGCACAUAGUGAAUGUGGUGGAUGAAAGUGGUUGCAUACUUCUGAGGACAGAAGUAGCUAAGACCAAUAGAUGAAGAGCACAUAAUAAUGACUUCAACCGCAUGACUAAUCCCAUAGGGUCUACACAGCUUAACUACUCUCAAUGCUUAUAGGUUGAAAUAUAAGUGGAGGUUUUCCUAAUCUAGAAAGCAUGAGUAAUUUGCUAUGGUGGGAAUUUUAGAACUCUUGUCAUAAAGGAACUCAUAAUGUAGCAAUUUAAGAUUUUCAAAAUAAAAUUCUCUAGAAUUCUAGCAUCUCUAGGAGCAAGAUUGAUAGCAGCUCAGAACCUUCACAUAUCAUAUCCGUCAACUAUCUAGACUUAGAACAAUCAUUUGCUACCCACAGGUUUUAGGCUUAUAGAAAAUCUUAAGUCUAAACAGUUAAGCCUAAAACUCAAGAGAGUACAAGAUUGAAAACAAGGUACUUGUAAGGAAUUACGGCAGAGCAACUAUUCAUCAUCUCCAUAUAAGAGUUAAUUCUAGAGGUUCAUCUUAACAGAUUCAUAAAGAGAUCUCCUAGCAAGAUUAAUUAUGAAAGAUAAAACAUUUACUGGGUUUCUAAGUUUAUUCAUCUUUUUAUCUUGUCAUAAUGCACUAGGAAUAAAUAGAUAAGUGAGUAAGGGAUACUUAGCUCGGUGUACGGGGGUUGCUCUCCCCAAGCUGGAUGUGAUAUUGCAGACGGGCAGUGAAGACAUACUCGUCCUCCUAGAGUAUCGUAGGUACUUGCUAUCAGAAACAACACUUGCCUCAUGCGAACAGUACUCCGACAGGGCACAAGACGUCCUUCUGCCUGUUAGUUCUUUUUGAUCCUUUGAAGCCUAUGAAGCACAAAUAGACAACAAAACUUGUGGAACUAAUUAAGCGUUAGUAAUAAACCUCUAAGCUUUGGGAGUCUAGAACUUUCUUAUACCCAUUUAUAUUUUAGGAAGAUCAAUAUAUUUUAUUUAUUUAUUAUAGUAU